ACUCCUACGGGAGGCAGCAGUAGGGAAUCUUCCACAAUGGGCGCAAGCCUGAUGGAGCAACACCGCGUGAGUGAAGAAGGGUUUCGGCUCGUAAAGCUCUGUUGUUAAAGAAGAACACGUAUGAGAGUAACUGUUCAUACGUUGACGGUAUUUAACCAGAAAGUCACGGCUAACUACGUGCCAGCAGCCGCGGUAAUACGUAGGUGGCAAGCGUUAUCCGGAUUUAUUGGGCGUAAAGAGAGUGCAGGCGGUUUUCUAAGUCUGAUGUGAAAGCCUUCGGCUUAACCGGAGAAGUGCAUCGGAAACUGGAUAACUUGAGUGCAGAAGAGGGUAGUGGAACUCCAUAGUGUAGCGGUGGAAUGCGUAGAUAUAUGGAAGAACACCAGUGGCGAAGGCGGCUACCUGGUCUGCAACUGACGCUGAGACUCGAAAGCAUGGGUAGCGAACAGGAUUAGAUACCCUGGUAGGAUAGCG
RNAcentral lists this ribosomal RNA (474 nucleotides) under uncultured bacterium. RNAcentral's name for it is "bacterial SSU rRNA". It matches the Rfam family "Bacterial small subunit ribosomal RNA", at positions 335 to 801 of the family's 1533-position model. The record is from RNAcentral.